RNAcentral lists this long non-coding RNA (1244 nucleotides) under Erythranthe guttata (spotted monkey flower). RNAcentral's name for it is "long non-coding RNA (EGUT_LNC002125)". The record is from RNAcentral. Lineage: Eukaryota; Viridiplantae; Streptophyta; Magnoliopsida; Lamiales; Phrymaceae.
CCACUUUAAUAUUAACAUAAUCCACAACAAACUUAUCAAAAUCCACUAAAAACAUAUGUAGUCCACUACUAACACAACUCAAAAAAUAACAAACAAAAAAAACCGUAAAUUCAUUAUUCAAAAUCCACUAUUUGAAAUGUAAAUCACUACUAUGUCCACGAAAAAGUGCAAGACGAGUACACCACCACCAACAAUGCCGACGAGGAUCACUAAAUGUAUCUGAACAAGAACAAAUUUAAUUAGCAAAUGAAAACCAAUUUCCAAAAGUAAACCUUGGUCUCAUACCAUCGUUGGUGGGAACAAAAUAUGAGAAGCUUCAUAAGCAAAUUAUUUUCAACCUACGUAUAUUGCAUAAAUCCGUUGAAACGAAAGAUGAACGAGGAACAAUAAAAACCACUAUGUAUAAACAACUAUAUAAACAUGAAAACCAUUAUGUAUAAACAAUUAUGUAAACAUGAAAACCACUAUGUAUAAAGUAUAAACAACUAUAUAAACAUGAAAACCACUUUGUAUACUUGUCGAAGUUCACCAUAAAUAUAUCGGUAACCACUCUAUAUACUUAUCGAAAUCCACUAUCAAAUUAACGUAAUCCAGUAUACAAUUUAAUUAAUUAAUGAACAAGCAUAGUAGUGUAUAGCAAACACUAGAGAGAAGCUUGGAAACAAGUAGCCAUACAGACACACAAUCCUAUGUGUGCCUACAGACCAGGACAAAAUUUAGAACAAGCAUGCAUCUUCACUUCCUUAAAUAUUCAUCUACAUAUAUGCAUGUGUAUCUAUCUCUAUCUCUAUCUCCAUCUCUAUCUAUAUAUAUAUGUACAAUUUUUUUAUUUUUUUGGGUAUGUCUGUAUUAACUUCGUUUACAACAAAAAUACAAUACAACGAAAGAACAAUAACAAACAAAUAAAAAAAAGAAUUAUAUUCAGAACACCAUGAGAUGCAGUAAAAAGCUAAAAUCAUUAUUAGAAUAAAGCCGAACACCAUAUAAACUGAAGAGGGGAUAAAACUACAAAAUUAUAAAGCAAAUUAAAAAAUCAAGUUGGGAGAUAAUAUAAUAAUCAUCUUGUUCAAAAAUAUUAAUUUAUAAGAAUUAAUUUAUAAAAAAUUACCUUUUUUUUCUACCACCGCUUAGAUAUCCAUCGUUUACGGUGAAGAGAGAGAAAUAGGGAUGGAGGCUGAGGCGGCGCCGAAUGGGGGCAGGGGCGGCGCCGGGUGCACGGAGGCUGGGGCGGCACCGGUGGGGAU